RNAcentral lists this ribosomal RNA (478 nucleotides) under uncultured bacterium. Its description in RNAcentral is "partial 16S ribosomal RNA". It matches the Rfam family "Bacterial small subunit ribosomal RNA", at positions 28 to 523 of the family's 1533-position model. The record is from RNAcentral.
GACGAACGCUGGCGGCGUGCUUAACACAUGCAAGUCGAACGGUAAGGCCCUUCGGGGUACACGAGUGGCGAACGGGUGAGUAACACGUGGGUGAUCUGCCCUGCACUUCGGGAUAAGCCUGGGAAACUGGGUCUAAUACCGGAUAGGACUCCGGACUGCAUGGUCUGGGGUGGAAAGCUUUUGCGGGUUGGGAUGGGCCCGCGGCCUAUCAGCUUGUUGGUGGGGUGAUGGCCUACCAAGGCGACGACGGGUAGCCGGCCUGAGAGGGUGAACGGCCACAGUGGGACUGAGAUACGGCCCAGACUCCUACGGGAGGCAGCAGUGGGGAAUAUUGCACGAUGGGCGCAAGCCUGAUGCAGCGACGCCGCGUGAGGGAUGACGGCCUUCGGGUUGUAAACCUCUUUCAGCAUCGACGAAGCGAAAGUGACGGUAGGUGAAGAAGAAGGACCGGCCAACUACGUGCCAGCCGCCGCCGUAA